UGCUUCUGACAGAUGGGAGCUGUGUGU
This 27-nucleotide non-coding RNA is filed under the name Rattus norvegicus (Norway rat). The record is from RNAcentral. Lineage: Eukaryota; Metazoa; Chordata; Mammalia; Rodentia; Muridae.